Molecule: long non-coding RNA, 2145 nt
Organism: Manis pentadactyla (Chinese pangolin)
Lineage: Eukaryota; Metazoa; Chordata; Mammalia; Pholidota; Manidae
Exons: 3
Source: RefSeq, a predicted model, not a curated record
CCCACCAACUGCCCUAGAACCCCAUAAAACCUUUGUGGUAUUGAAACUCGCUCUCUCUCUCUGGCAUCUUGCCACUGUGUUGGUGUAGAUGAGAGAUUGAGCUCGAGCUAGCUCAAAUAAAGACUCUUUGCUUUUGCAUCGGUGUUGACUCCUUGGUGGUCUUCUGGGAUUCGCGACUUUGGGCACAACAUUUGGGGGGUCAUCCGGGAUCCCAGACACCCCCAGGACUCCCGACCCGGAGGGCCCUGUGCCGGCUGAAAUAUCCGAAUUUCCUUAUGUCUACUGUCUUGCAGUAAGCUCUCAUCAGAACUUUAACCAUUGUCAUUUGUAAGUCUUUUGCCAUUUAUAGUCACUGUUUUAUUACUCCUACACUAGUAAAGAACUAGAUUUCAGCAGAACAGGUAUUGGUUACAUAGGAUUAAGUGAACUAAGGAAGAUGGUUUUGUGACUUUUUGUUUCAGAUGUUGCUGAUAAAGUGUUUUAAGCUUUUUCUCUUAAGCUGACAGAUUCAUGAAUGACAAUACCUUUAUAAGCAGAAUUGAAACAUUUAUCUUUCUCUCUACCUGAUCCCUCAAGAAUUUAAAAGCUUUCAGUAUUUUUAUGUUUCAUGGCAGUAUGUUUAUUUGCAUAAGUUCAAUAAGAACCUGCAUUCCUUGUAAGAGGACCAAUUAAAAACACAGGUUAUACUACCAAGGCUUUGUUGGAAUGUCAUACCUGAGAGACACGUGCAUAAACUCAGAUAUGGACAGCUUUAAGGAACUAAGGUUGACUUUAUAAAGCCAACAAAGCCCCUUGGAAGAACUGGCCUGGUACCUUGCUUACAGGGUUCCUAGCAGCCUUACCAGGUGAGUAAGGAAGGUCACUUUCUGGCAGGUUCAGGAACCUCAAGAUGUCUCAGGGACCUCGAGAAGAGAGGAAUUCACCCAAAUCUACAGGUACUGCAGGCAAAACCUGAUGGCAAGUCUGGCUUGGCUGUCUGGCCUCAAGAGGCCUUUAAAAGUUCAAUCUGAAAUUCCUUACAAAAAGUUCCACAAGGCAUGUUUAAAAGAGCCUAUGUAAUCAAUUGCUCCUUUUGCUGCACUUAUGCAAAUAAUCAAGCCAACUGUUAAUUGUUUUCUGAAUCUGGCUAAUUCUAAUAAAAAUAAGGGUGAUUUUAGAGAAAAGUAUUGUUUCAAUAAUGCAGUCUUAUCUAUACUAAAUCCUAAUACUAGUCAUUGAGAUGUAAACUCGAUCCAGAAUUCUAGUUUCCCCAUAAUACCUGACUAUGAUUCUCAAUUAGAGUCUUCAUAUUUCUAGUUCUCAUAUUCAGCCAUGCAUUCUUAAUCUCGUCAAGUUUGUCCUUCCAGAAUGGAAAAUCCAACUCCAGAUGUUGCUACUUAACCUAAUAACACAAUUUGUUUUAUCUUGCCUAGAAGCCACAAAACUGCAAAUAGUAAUAGAAAUGAAACCCAGAAUAGAAGCGCCAACUUUCCGAGGCCCUCUCAACUGACCAGUGAUGGAGACCUAGCUGCACCCUUUACUGCGCCCCCUUCUCAGCACGAAGCAGCCAGAGCGGUCAUUGCCCCUUUUCCCUAGCAGCAGCUAGGGUCUCUAUCUGUAGAGGGGAGAAUGAGACAGGGACCAUAGGCUUAGACAGAAUAAGGUGAGAGCCUCUGGAGGGGGCAGGGCAGGAUAUUUGCAAUCAGAGCAACAUAAAGAAGAGUAGCACAUGUUUUAUUAUGCUAAUCAUUUGUAAUCGUGUAUAAGAUUCACUUUAGCAUAGUAAAAGGCCCAGGCCUAUGUGCUGUCUUUCCUCCUUCAGAUCUGACUAGGUAAUUUUGCAAGCUGAGCAAUUGACUUAGCAUGCAGACCCAGCUGUAGACGGCAUAGUAAAAGGCAGGAUUCUUUAGCAAAUAGACAAUAUCUUAGCCCACCUUAGAGGCUGGGCAUGCAGUCUUUUGAUGUGCGCCCGAACCAAGGCGCCAGUGUCCCAGAGAGAAAUCAAGGCAGGAAAUUAUCUUUAAUAUUCAAGGACCCCUUGCUAUCCUACUCCUUUUACUAACCCUUGGGCCCUGUAUCAUCAACAGGCUGGUCCAGAUUGUCAGAGACCACGUGGGGGCUGUCCAACCGAUAGUCCUCCGUGCUCAAUACAAGCCCCUAGUAAUC